Molecule: long non-coding RNA, 127 nt
Organism: Gavialis gangeticus (Gharial)
Lineage: Eukaryota; Metazoa; Chordata; Crocodylia; Gavialidae
Exons: 3
Source: RefSeq, a predicted model, not a curated record
CUGGCGAUGUCACACACCAUACAAGGGGAAAGGGGGCAGGGCUAAGGGGCAGGACUUUUGGUCCCGCCCAUCUGUCACAUUUGUAUUGAAGGGCGGUGAGCCUAUAUAAUCACUGUGGCACAUUUGU